AUUGAACGCUGGCGGCAUGCCUUACACAUGCAAGUCGAACGGCAGCGGACCUUCGGGUGCCGGCGAGUGGCGAACGGGUGAGUAAUAUAUCGGAACGUACCUUUCAGUGGGGGAUAACGUAGCGAAAGUUACGCUAAUACCGCAUAUUCUGUGAGCAGGAAAGCAGGGGAUCGCAAGACCUUGCGCUGAUUGAGCGGCCGAUAUCAGAUUAGCUAGUUGGUGAGGUAAAAGCUCACCAAGGCGACGAUCUGUAGCGGGUCUGAGAGGAUGAUCCGCCACACUGGAACUGAGACACGGUCCAGACUCCUACGGGAGGCAGCAGUGGGGAAUUUUGGACAAUGGGCGCAAGCCUGAUCCAGCCAUGCCGCGUGAGUGAAGAAGGCCUCGGUUG
RNAcentral lists this ribosomal RNA (391 nucleotides) under uncultured bacterium. RNAcentral's name for it is "bacterial SSU rRNA". It matches the Rfam family "Bacterial small subunit ribosomal RNA", at positions 30 to 425 of the family's 1533-position model. The record is from RNAcentral.